GUGACCUCGGAUCAGGUAGGAUCCCAGUUU
This 30-nucleotide ribosomal RNA is filed under the name Ascomycota sp. 222. RNAcentral describes it as "Phialocephala sp. 222 partial 28S ribosomal RNA". Lineage: Eukaryota; Fungi; Ascomycota. The record is from RNAcentral.